GGACGAGCCAACCACAGGGAACUCAGUGCUCGGAGACGAUGGAAGUACUCGGCAAUCGCCAGGAAACACCUCGCUGCUUGGCGGGUUGUCAAUAUCUGAUGCAGCCGAUGAAGGGUUUGGUGCCUCAGAUUAUCUGCCUGGUUUGAGUACCUUGAUGAGGUCUGAAGGCCGGAAAUCUCCCAUCCACAUGAAGCAACGCUCGGCAGGAGUCUUCCACAUGCCAGAAACAAGAUGGAAGACGUCGGAUUUGGCAACCAUGCCUUUGAGGCUCAUCACCUCAUCAUAGUGAGCUAAGCAGUUGUCCACAAAGAGCCUAAGCUCGUUUUCAGGUAGAUGUUCCUGCACAGCUGCUCGAAGCUCACAUGUGAGACGAUGGUGCUCCUCCAGCCAUCUGGUAUACUCAAUGUCGAAUACCGCAGCAUCUACCAAGUCCAAAAACGAAAUGAAGGAUUGGUUCAUUGUUUUUUACGCAGAGAAAUGUAAAAACUAAAUUAAAAAACAAAACAAAACAAAAGAGAGAGAAUAUACCUGAGCUAAUAUUGCUGAUACCUACAGGAAGGCCUUGAUCUCCACCUAGAAGACCUCCUCCACCGAAGAAUAGACCCUAAUUAAGCCAAAAAAAAGGUUCAGAUCUUGAGAAGAUCUUUUGAUGAUAUUUGAUAUAUACCUAGCUAAUAGAAACUUACUUGAGCUCUGGCUCUUUGUAGCUCUUGUUCCAGUUGGGUUAGUCUAAUUCUACUUGACUCUA
Hevea brasiliensis (rubber tree) is the source of this 748-nucleotide long non-coding RNA. RefSeq lists it as uncharacterized. Lineage: Eukaryota; Viridiplantae; Streptophyta; Magnoliopsida; Malpighiales; Euphorbiaceae. The record is from RefSeq and is a predicted model, not a curated record. The transcript has 2 exons.